AUACUUACCUGGCAGGGGACAUACCAUGAUCACGAAGGUGGUUCACCCAAGGCUCUUGUCGGCAAGCAUUCUUGAACGGCUUGCCACGCUAAGUCUUUAUGAGGAUUUAGCAG
RNAcentral lists this small nuclear RNA (113 nucleotides) under Haplochromis burtoni (Burton's mouthbrooder). Its description in RNAcentral is "U1 spliceosomal RNA (ENSHBUG00000020869.1)". Lineage: Eukaryota; Metazoa; Chordata; Actinopteri; Cichliformes; Cichlidae. The record is from RNAcentral.